AUACAACGAUAAUAAAUCAUGAACUUGUUAGUUUUGACUUUACCAUUUGACGCUACCAUUCUCCUCGGCUCCGGUGAACGGUUUGGAACAGAGUCAGAGGGUGAAUGGACGCAGAGAGGAUGGAGAGGAAACAGAGAGGGUAGAGAGGAAGCAGAGAGGAUGGAGAGGAUGCAGAGAGGGUGGAGAGGAAGCAGAGAGGAUGGAGAGGAAGCAGAGAGGGUGGAGAGGAAGCAGAGAGAGUGAGAGGAAGCAGAGAGGAUGGAGAGGAAGCAGAGAGUGGAGAGGAAGCAGAGAGGAUGGAGAGGAAGCAGAGAGGAUGGAGAGGAAGC
Long non-coding RNA from Ictalurus punctatus (channel catfish), 329 nucleotides. Lineage: Eukaryota; Metazoa; Chordata; Actinopteri; Siluriformes; Ictaluridae. The record is from Ensembl.